This 497-nucleotide ribosomal RNA is filed under the name uncultured bacterium. RNAcentral's name for it is "partial 16S ribosomal RNA". It matches the Rfam family "Bacterial small subunit ribosomal RNA", at positions 28 to 507 of the family's 1533-position model. The record is from RNAcentral.
GAUGAACGCUGGCGGCGUGCCUAAUACAUGCAAGUCGAGCGAACGGAUGAGAAGCUUGCUUCUCUGAUGUUAGCGGCGGACGGGUGAGUAACAAGUGGAUAACCUACCUAUAAGACUGGGAUAACUUCGGGAAACCGUAGCUAAUACCGGAUAAUAUUUUGAACCGCAUGGUUCAAAAGUGAAAGACGGUCUUGCUGUCACUUAUAGAUGGAUCCGCGCUGCAUUAGCUAGUUGGUAAGGUAACGGCUUACCAAGGCAACGAUGCAUAGCCGACCUGAGAGGGUGAUCGGCCACACUGGAACUGAGACACGGUCCAGACUCCUACGGGAGGCAGCAGUAGGGAAUCUUCCGCAAUGGGCGAAAGCCUGACGGAGCAACGCCGCGUGAGUGAUGAAGGUCUUCGGAUCGUAAAACUCUGUUAUUAGGGAAGAACAUAUGUGUAAGUAACUGUGCACAUCUUGACGGUACCUAAUCAGAAAGCCACGGCUAACUACGUG